GAUGAACGCUGGCGGCGUGCCUAAUACAUGCAAGUCGAGCGAACGGACGAGAAGCUUGCUUCUCUGAUGUUAGCGGCGGACGGGUGAGUAACACGUGGAUAACCUACCUAUAAGACUGGGAUAACUUCGGGAAACCGUAGCUAAUACCGGAUAAUAUUUUGAACCGCAUGGUUCAAAAGUGAAAGACGGUCUUGCUGUCACUUAUAGAUGGAUCCGCGCUGCAUUAGCUAGUUGGUAAGGUAACGGCUUACCAAGGCAACGAUGCAUAGCCGACCUGAGAGGGUGAUCGGCCACACUGGAACUGAGACACGGUCCAGACUCCUACGGGAGGCAGCAGUAGGGAAUCUUCCGCAAUGGGCGAAAGCCUGACGGAGCAACGCCGCGUGAGUGAUGAAGGUCUUCGGAUCGUAAAACUCUGUUAUUAGGGAAGAACAUAUGUGUAAGUAACUGUGCACAUCAUGACGGUACCUAAUCAGAAAGCCACGGCUAACUACGUG
RNAcentral lists this ribosomal RNA (497 nucleotides) under uncultured bacterium. Its description in RNAcentral is "partial 16S ribosomal RNA". It matches the Rfam family "Bacterial small subunit ribosomal RNA", at positions 28 to 507 of the family's 1533-position model. The record is from RNAcentral.